GCAGGGUUGUCGCUGANCUUUCCNAAAGGUCGUGCACGCCCGAGCGCUCUCAAUCCAUUUCACCCCUUGUGCAUCACCGCGCGGGGUCGCUCCCUCUUGGCUCGCUUCGAGAGGGGGAGGCUCGCGUUUUUCACACAUAAACACCCUUCUGGUUUAGAAUGUCAUUCAUUUGCGAUCACACGCAAUCAAUACAACUUUCAACAACGGAUCUCUUGGCUCUCGCAUCGAUGAAGAACGCAGCGAAAUGCGAUACGUAAUGUGAAUUGCAGAAUUCAGUGAAUCAUCGAAUCUUUGAACGCAUCUUGCGCCCCUUGGUAUUCCGAGGGGCACACCCGUUUGAGUGUCGUGAAAUUCUCAAACCUUCUUGGUUUCUCGAUCAAGAUGGCUUUGGACUUUGGAGGCAUUUUGCUGGCUUUGCGAAAAGCCAGCUCCUCUUAAAUACAUUAGUGGGGUCCCCUUUGCCGAUCCCCAGGCGUGAUAAGAUGUUUCUACGUCUCGGGAUUUGCUCUGUUCCUUGGGAACCCGCUUAUAACCGUCUCAUGGGAGACAUCGUUCGAGCAUGCUCGACCCACGAACCUUGACCUCAAAUCGGGUGAGACUACCCGCUGAACUUAAGCAUAUCAAUAAGCGGAGGAAAAGAAACUAACAAGGAUUCCCCUAGUAACUGCGAGUGAAGCGGGAAAAGCUCAAAUUUAAAAUCUGGUGGCCUUUGGUCAUCCGAGUUGUAAUUUAGAGAAGCGUCUUCCGCGCUGGACCAUGCACAAGUCUCCUGGAAUGGAGCGUCAUAGAGGGUGAGAAUCCCGUCUUUGGCAUGNNNGCACCAGGGCUUCUGUGAUGCGCUCUCGAAGAGUCNAGUUGNUUGGGAAUGNAGCUCAAAUGGGUGGNGAACUCCAUCUAAAGCUAAAUAUUGGCGAGAGACCGAUNGCGAACNANUNCCGUGANGGAAAGAUGAAAGCACUUUNGNA
RNAcentral lists this ribosomal RNA (965 nucleotides) under uncultured Russula. RNAcentral describes it as "eukaryotic LSU rRNA". The stretch from base 579 to 965 matches the Rfam family "Eukaryotic large subunit ribosomal RNA", at positions 1 to 381 of the family's 3401-position model. The record is from RNAcentral. Lineage: Eukaryota; Fungi; Basidiomycota; Agaricomycetes; Russulales; Russulaceae.